AGAAUCAACGCUGGCGGCGUGCCUAACACAUGCAAGUCGAACGAGAAAGUGGAGCAAUCCAUGAGUAAAGUGGCGCACGGGUGAGUAACACGUGACUAACCUACCUUUUAGUGGGGGGAUAACCUAGGGAAACCUGGGCUAAUACCGCAUAAUACCUACGGGUCAAAGCAGCAAUGCGCUGGAAGAGGGGGUCGCGGCCGAUUAGCUAGUUGGCGGGGUAAUGGCCCACCAAGGCAGUGAUCGGUAUCCGGCCUGAGAGGGCGCACGGACACACUGGAACUGAAACACGGUCCAGACUCCUACGGGAGGCAGCAGUGGGGAAUUUGCGCAAUGGGGGAAACCCUGACGCAGCAACGCCGCGUGGAGGAUGAAGACCCUUGGGUCGUAAACUCCUUUCGAUCGGGACGAUAAUGACGGUACCGGAAGAAGAAGCCCCGGCUAACUUCGUGCCAGCAGCCGC
Molecule: ribosomal RNA, 460 nt
Filed under: uncultured bacterium
Lineage: Bacteria
Description: SSU rRNA
Rfam family: Bacterial small subunit ribosomal RNA
Source: RNAcentral